Molecule: ribosomal RNA, 251 nt
Filed under: uncultured bacterium
Lineage: Bacteria
Description: partial 16S ribosomal RNA
Rfam family: Bacterial small subunit ribosomal RNA
Source: RNAcentral
GCAAGUCGAGGGGCAGCAGGACACUUCGGUGUUGCUGGCGACCGGCGAACGGGUGCGUAACACGUAUGCAAUCUACCUUGUACUGGGGAAUAGGUCUCGGAAACGAGAAUUAAUACCCCAUAUAAUCCUAACAGCGCAUGCUGAUAGGAGGAAAGCUCCGGCGGUACAAGAUGAGCAUGCGUCCCAUUAGCUAGUUGGUAAGGUAACGGCUUACCAAGGCAACGAUGGGUAGGGGGCCUGAGAGGGUGGUC